AGUAACGGCGAGUGAACAGGGAUUAGCCCAGCACCGAAGUCUGUGUCCAUUUGGGCAUUCGACAAUGUGGUGUUUUGGUUGGCGAUUUUAGAUGUUGCUCCGUUUAAAGUCCAUUCUUGAAUAUGGCUAUAGUUUGGCCCAGAGAGGGUGAAAGGCCCGUGUGGAUGGAGUGAUGUUUGACCUCGUUAACUGUGGAGUCGGGUUGUUUGAGAAUGCAGCCCAAAGUUGGUGGUAAACUCCAUCUAAGGCUAAAUACUGGCACGAGUCCGAUAGCGAACAAGUACCGUGAGGGAAAGUUGAAAAGUACUCUGAAGAGAGAGUUAACAGUGCGUGAAACCGCUUAGAAGCAAACGGGUGUAGUCAAGCUGCAAGCCAUAAGAAAUAGGUUGGUCAGAAUGGCGUGAGUCUGAGCAUACAGGGCUGGCAAGUAGGUCCGACUAUAUGUCGGGUUCGGCUCGCAAGGGUCGGAUUUGUGGACGUCACGGCGUUGCAAGUCUAUUUGUCAGUUGCUCUACUGGCCCUCUCAAUUUCUUUUGGCGUAUGUCACGACCGUCUUUGCUGUCGGUCUGCUUUGGUUAAACCGUGUCGUGAGUAGUUUCGUGCUUCUUGCGGUACGGGGGCAGGUAGCUAAUCCAAUUUCGGUUGGUUUAGUGUAAUUGCUGACCAGAGUGGUAUCAGUAACUGUGCAGUAAGAUGGGGCUGGCGGUGCAUUGUUGCUAGACGUGCUAAAGUGUGCUAGCGUGGUUCGGGCAUGGCUACUUGUUGCUGUUUCUGACGGCCUUGUAGUUGUCUGGCUACGGUUUAGCAUACGGCUGCGUUUGGUCAAUCUUUGCGUUGUGCCUACAGUCUGUGGCGUAGUGGUAGACGAUCCACCCGA
RNAcentral lists this ribosomal RNA (877 nucleotides) under Caballeraxine sp. SC-2018. Its description in RNAcentral is "LSU rRNA". It matches the Rfam family "Eukaryotic large subunit ribosomal RNA", at positions 82 to 647 of the family's 3401-position model. Lineage: Eukaryota; Metazoa; Platyhelminthes; Monogenea; Mazocraeidea; Microcotylidae. The record is from RNAcentral.